This 390-nucleotide long non-coding RNA is filed under the name Elaeis guineensis (African oil palm). Its description in RNAcentral is "long non-coding RNA (EGUI_LNC006468)". The record is from RNAcentral. Lineage: Eukaryota; Viridiplantae; Streptophyta; Magnoliopsida; Arecales; Arecaceae.
AUAUUAUACGCUUAGGAAGCAGCAUAUAGGAAGCAGACACAGAUACUUCUGCUCAGAGCUUCACCAAAGGGUCCAACUUCCUUUGCUUUAGAAUAUUGAACGUUUUACCUGGGAAAAACAUGGCAUCCAUCUGAUUCAGAUGUAAUGAAAUACAUAAGAGUAGGAGAGUGUAUCGGUUGUUUCAGAGGGUUUAGCUAAUAGAAUUAUCAGGGCAGAUGCGAACCUGAUGGCAAUUCAGGGAUUUUGGGCAGAAGCGAACCUGACAGCAAUUCAGGGAUUUUGGGCUGCACAGCAGGGAACCUGACGACAUUGUGACGACAUUGCCGCACUCUCCUAGACAGGGAACCUACAAAGAAUUUUUUUUGUACACCGCGGGCGACGUAGAAAACA